Molecule: ribosomal RNA, 256 nt
Filed under: uncultured prokaryote
Description: partial 16S ribosomal RNA
Rfam family: Bacterial small subunit ribosomal RNA
Source: RNAcentral
AAUACAGAGGUCCCAAGCGUUGUUCGGAUUCACUGGGCGUAAAGGGUGCGUAGGUGGUCGGGUAAGUCUGAUGUGAAAUCUCCAAGCUCAACUUGGAAACUGCAUCGGAUACUAUUCGGCUCGAGGGUUGGAGGGGGGACUGGAAUGCUUGGUGUAGCAGUGAAAUGCGUAGAUAUCAAGCGGAACACCAGUGGCGAAGGCGAGUCCCUGGACAACUCCUGACACUGAGGCACGAAAGCUAGGGGAGCAAACAGGA